RNAcentral lists this ribosomal RNA (380 nucleotides) under uncultured bacterium. RNAcentral describes it as "bacterial SSU rRNA". It matches the Rfam family "Bacterial small subunit ribosomal RNA", at positions 30 to 412 of the family's 1533-position model. The record is from RNAcentral.
AUUGAACGCUGGCGGCAUGCCUUACACAUGCAAGUCGAACGGUAACGCGGGGCAACCUGGCGACGAGUGGCGAACGGGUGAGUAAUAUAUCGGAACGUGCCCAGUCGUGGGGGAUAACGUAGCGAAAGUUACGCUAAUACCGCAUACGAUCUACGGAUGAAAGCGGGGGAUCGCAAGACCUCGCGCGAUUGGAGCGGCCGAUAUCAGAUUAGGUAGUUGGUGGGGUAAAGGCUCACCAAGCCAACGAUCUGUAGCUGGUCUGAGAGGACGACCAGCCACACUGGAACUGAGACACGGCCCAGACUCCUACGGGAGGCAGCAGUGGGGAAUUUUGGACAAUGGGGGAAACCCUGAUCCAGCAAUGCCGCGUGAGUGAAGAA